CACGUAUUUAGCCGGAGCUUCUUAGUCAGGUACCGUCACUUUCUUCCCUGCUGAUAGGGCUUUACAUACCGAAAUACUUCUUCACCCACGCGGCGUUGCUGCAUCAGGGUUCCCCCGAUUGUGCAAUAUUCCCCACUGCUGCCUCCCGUAGGAGUCUGGGCCGUGUCUCAGUCCCAAUGUGGCCGUCCACUCUCUCAAGCCGGCUACUGAUCGCUGCCUUGGUGGGCCGUUACCCGCCACUAGCUAAUCAGACGCGGGCCCAUCCUGUACCACCGGAGUUUUCCCCGGCAGCGCCAUGCGGCACCGCGGGCUUAUGCGGUAUUAGCAGCCGUUUCCAGCUGUUGUCCCCCUGUACAGGGCAGGUUACCCACGCGUUACUCACCCGUCCGCCACUAGGCUGUAUGCUGCUUCCGCCGAAACGCUUCCGCUGCAUACGCCCCGGUUCGACUUGCAUGUGUUAGGCACGCCGCCAGCGUCAUCCUGAGCCAGGAUCAACUCUC
Molecule: ribosomal RNA, 500 nt
Filed under: uncultured Lachnospiraceae bacterium
Lineage: Bacteria; Bacillati; Bacillota; Clostridia; Lachnospirales; Lachnospiraceae
Description: partial 16S ribosomal RNA
Source: RNAcentral